GUCCUAAUAGAAUAAUUCAAUGUACUAAUAAAAGGAAUAUAUCUAGACGUAUUGAUCAGCUACAAAUUAAAAGCAGUGACACUUGUCAGGUUAAGAAGGCUAUAAAUGUCUAGAAAGUUAGAAUUAAAAUGCUUGAUUCUUCAACCUUUGCUUACAAUCCAAGUAACAGAUGAGGAAAAAGAUUGUAGACAACAAUGUCGGCAACAGAAACAGCCAGCAUGCCUUCUUUCAGGUGCAAGGCCCUCAAAAGGCGUGCCUUCCUAAUUUCCACCUUCAGCAAGCAUUUUCAUCCAAAAAAUAACUCACCAUUAAACUUGAAACUCUCCAAUUUAU
RNAcentral lists this unclassified non-coding RNA (333 nucleotides) under Hevea brasiliensis (rubber tree). The record is from RNAcentral. Lineage: Eukaryota; Viridiplantae; Streptophyta; Magnoliopsida; Malpighiales; Euphorbiaceae.